Populus euphratica (Euphrates poplar) is the source of this 560-nucleotide long non-coding RNA. RefSeq lists it as uncharacterized. NCBI's taxonomy places the organism in Eukaryota, Viridiplantae, Streptophyta, Magnoliopsida, Malpighiales, Salicaceae. The record is from RefSeq and is a predicted model, not a curated record. The transcript is spliced from 2 exons.
UGUCCAAACUUUCACACACGUGGCACCCUAAAUCUCUACGUUUGCGACACCAUUUUUCUUGUUUUGUCUUUUAACCCCUGCUUCUUCGUGAUAGCUAAAGUUAUCAGUAGCUAAGCUUAGCUGCGAUUUAGGAUAUUAAACACCACGACCACCAUCACCAACGAUAGCAACAUGGGUUCAGAGACCUUCCUUGAAGUGAUAUUGGCGAUUAUCCUUCCACCCGUCGGGGUCUUCCUGCGUUAUGGCUGUGGAGUGGAGUUUUGGAUAUGUUUGCUGUUGACCAUAUUGGGAUAUAUUCCAGGGAUUAUAUAUGCCCUUUAUGUAUUAGUUGGAUAGUGUAUGAAUCUCUCUUGGUGAGGUUUGCUGUUUUUACGUUUCAAGGACAAUCCUGUUUGCUCCUCUUGUUUUAUUGCCUUGUUUUAUUGAGAUCGACUGUUUUCACUUCUUGUCAGAUAAUCGUUGUUUGUUUCCGUAUGGUUUAGAUCAUGGUAGACCUCUUUGUUCUUAAGUUCUUGACAGUUUGAACAUUAAUACAUGUCGUGUCAGCUUUCUUGAUCUUA